CGCCCUUGAAUAUUGUCUAUUGGGGAGAGCCACAUGGAUCUCCCCGCCCAUUAGCCACGGCCCACGUCCAUCAAAGAGAAACAUCCACCUUCCAGCUCCUCUCAUUGGACAGUCUCGACAGUACCCCCUCAAUGAUUGGCUGCUCCGGCUGACUGUCACAUAUUGACGUCUCCUCCCUCGCUGGCUGCCCGAUCCUCCUCCCACUCCUCCCGUUGGCUGGGAGGUUGGCCCCGUAAAUGAGACGCCCGCCCCUACUUGCCCCGCCCUCUCCACGCUACGGAUUGGCCGGUGGGUUGCGCCCUCGCAAUCCAUUGGCGAAGGGAUGUGCUCGUCACACCCUAACAUGCAGAGGCCCGCCCAUCGAGCUGCGGCCCUCGGCGGUGGCGCUCGAAACGAGGUGGGAGAGAAGGCUGCACCAGCGUGCCUCCUUUCUCUGCCCAAUGGAGGAGACAGGCACACGCGGCAAUGAGGAGGACCGCGGCCAUCGCCGCCUCAUGAUGCCAGGCGGCAACAACGCCACACUCCUGCCAUCUGCAACGACGUUUGCUUCUUGCCCCGCCCUUCCCACACAGCGAUUGGGCGGGGAGGAUGUCAGUCGCUCUACUCGCCAGUCCAUUGGUGCGCGGCGACUCCUCCGCAGCCAACUGGCAGCCGCUCCCGGUGUCACCCACCGGAUUACGCGCAGGCGUGGGCGUGAGGGGCGUCCCCCACCCUAUGAUUGGUUGAGUCAACUGUCAGUCCCCGCACUGUCUCGCGGCGGCGGGGGGGAAGGCGGUGAUGGGCCGCGUGAGGCGGCGGGGGCGUCACGUGGCUCCCGCCGUUGCGCACGUGACGGGGCUGGCGGCCGUUGGUGUGGGGGGAGGGGUUGUGUGAGGUGGUCCCGGAGGGCGUGGUUCGGAGGCUUCGCACGGUGGGCUGGAGGGAAGCGGGGGCUGUGGGAUCAAGAAGAGCUGAGGAGGAGACGAGCAGAACAGAGGAAGGAGCGCUCUGAGGGCACCUGUUGGGUCAGCAACACUCAGAUGUGGGGCUCGGUGUUGGAUGACGUGGUCUCCGUAGGUCCCUUCCAGCUCUUCUUCUGUGAUCACAAAGGCAUUUGAGAGGGAGAGAAAAUGGGAGUGUGCACCCCAUUUCCUCUUUUGGUUCUCCAGUACAGCUGAGGACUGGUGUUAGCACAGUGGCUGUCACCUCCCGGCCUCAAACUGUGUGCCUGCGUGCCAGUGCCAUGUUUCCACUUGGUCUCCUCGGGAGAAUCCCAUUACAACACUGCAGCAGCUGAAAUUGGAGUUUUGGUGCCAAAAAGCAAACGAGAGAUGCAAUAAUACGAGGGAAAAGCCUCGGAAAAGCCAGUUUUUUUGUUUUUGUUUUUGUUUUUUUUUCCUUGGAGCAUGCAAAAGGAAACAACAUACGUAGUACAUUUUGUAUAAGUCUAGGAAACCAGAAACAUUCAUGUCAGUGGAGCAAAAGGUGCCACGCUGCAAUUGCCCCCGUAAUUUCACGUGGUAGAAAGCAAGCAUGUUUUGUUGGAUGGAUGGUCCAGCAGGUCCCGCGCAGGUUCACGCAUGGAUUUGGGGGAAUCUCAGCUCCUGGGCUAGUUCCCGGCUCUCAGAAAGUCCUAACGUGUCUUCUAUAACAGCAGAGAACAAGUACAAAUGAGCAACGUAAAGAAAAAAACAGAGGAAAUGAAUACUAGCAUUAAAUGAAAGCAGGACAAAAAGAGAGAAAUACGUCAAAUGUAAUUUUUGAACUUGUACAUUGGCCAGAGGAAGAUGUCUGCUUUGUGCUUCCAGUUCUGAAAAUGAAGCAGUGUGCACAUAAAAGUUAUUGGCAGCUGUGUUGAGGCCAGAGGUCAUGCAGCUCUACAGGCAAGAUUUUAUUUACCUUUUCACCUCCCCAUUUCACCAACUUGGUCAGAGAUGAUACUCAACAGCAGCAGGAACUUAUACACAACAGUUUGAGUCACCUUUAGCUGAACCUAAACAAAACUAAAGUAUAGGUAUGCGAAAGCAAUUACAGCAUUUUAUUGUCACAGCUCCACCUUCAUCAUCAGGACAGUGUUAGAAUUUUACAUUGAGACAUAGGGUAACUGCUAAAGGCACUCUCUCCUUCCACUUUCCAAAGUUUAAGUGUACACUGGAGUUUCCAUUGCUUCGAGGGCAGCCACACUUUCACAUGCAGCACUCAUUUCUGUACUUUUUUAUGUCA
This is a non-coding RNA of Meleagris gallopavo (turkey), 2202 nucleotides long. The record is from RefSeq and is a predicted model, not a curated record. NCBI's taxonomy places the organism in Eukaryota, Metazoa, Chordata, Aves, Galliformes, Phasianidae.